UAAAUGACUAUAUAAAGCCGUCAAGUUGGACACUAAAAUUAUCAUUUUCAAAACGAAACUUUCGUAGUAUACUGAAUCAUCGAAUAAUUCAGCAAUCAUGAAGUUUUUCCACUACUUAGUACUUUUCGUCGUCAUGCUGACUAUUGGUUUCAAUGCAGGAGUAAAUGCUAGUCCAUCACAAGUUAAAAAACGUGCUCCUGAAGAUCUAUGUCCAUCUGCAUGGUGUGGAUCUUGAAUAGAAAAUCAAAGUUAUUCCAAUUACCAUAUAUUAAAAAAUGUAAUUGUGAAAAAAAUAAUCUGAUGCAAUAAAUACAUGAAUUAUUAAACAAACAAAA
Microplitis mediator is the source of this 335-nucleotide long non-coding RNA. RefSeq lists it as uncharacterized. The record is from RefSeq and is a predicted model, not a curated record. The transcript is spliced from 4 exons. Lineage: Eukaryota; Metazoa; Arthropoda; Insecta; Hymenoptera; Braconidae.